GAUGAACGCUGACAGAAUGCUUAACACAUGCAAGUCAACUUGAAUUUGGGUUUUUUAACUUCGAUUUGGGUGGCGGACGGGUGAGUAACGCGUAAAGAACUUGCCUCACAGCUAGGGACAACAUUUGGAAACGAAUGCUAAUACCUGAUAUUAUGAUUAUAAGGCAUCUUAGCAUUAUGAAAGCUAUAUGCGCUGUGAGAGAGCUUUGCGUCCCAUUAGCUAGUUGGAGAGGUAACGGCUCACCAAGGCGAUGAUGGGUAGCCGGCCUGAGAGGGUGAACGGCCACAAGGGGACUGAGACACGGCCCUUACUCCUACGGGAGGCAGCAGUGGGGAAUAUUGGACAAUGGACCAAGAGUCUGAUCCAGCAAUUCUGUGUGCACGAUGACGUUUUUCGGAAUGUAAAGUGCUUUCAGUUGGGAAGAAAAAAAUGACGGUACCAACAGAAGAAGUGACGGCUAAAUACGUG
This 468-nucleotide ribosomal RNA is filed under the name uncultured bacterium. RNAcentral's name for it is "partial 16S ribosomal RNA". It matches the Rfam family "Bacterial small subunit ribosomal RNA", at positions 28 to 507 of the family's 1533-position model. The record is from RNAcentral.